RNAcentral lists this ribosomal RNA (240 nucleotides) under uncultured Lactobacillus sp. RNAcentral's name for it is "partial 16S ribosomal RNA". It matches the Rfam family "Bacterial small subunit ribosomal RNA", at positions 123 to 356 of the family's 1533-position model. Lineage: Bacteria; Bacillati; Bacillota; Bacilli; Lactobacillales; Lactobacillaceae. The record is from RNAcentral.
AACCUGCCCCAUAGUCUGGGAUACCACUUGGAAACAGGUGCUAAUACCGGAUAAGAAAGCAGAUCGCAUGAUCAGCUUUUAAAAGGCGGCGUAAGCUGUCGCUAUGGGAUGGCCCCGCGGUGCAUUAGCUAGUUGGUAAGGUAAAGGCUUACCAAGGCGAUGAUGCAUAGCCGAGUUGAGAGACUGAUCGGCCACAUUGGGACUGAGACACGGCCCAAACUCCUACGGGAGGCAGCAGUG